Molecule: ribosomal RNA, 231 nt
Filed under: uncultured bacterium
Lineage: Bacteria
Description: partial 16S ribosomal RNA
Rfam family: Bacterial small subunit ribosomal RNA
Source: RNAcentral
CGGGUGAGUAACGCGUGGGUAACCUGCCUCACACAGGGGGAUAACAGUUGGAAACGGCUGCUAAUACCGCAUAAGCGCACAGUACCGCAUGGUACAGUGUGAAAAACUCCGGUGGUGUGAGAUGGACCCGCGUCUGAUUAGCUAGUUGGCAGGGCAGCGGCCUACCAAGGCGACGAUCAGUAGCCGACCUGAGAGGGUGACCGGCCACAUUGGGACUGAGACACGGCCCAA